UAUUGGAAAAACGCUUUUGAUGAGACGAAGAAAAAACAAAAAUUGUGAUUACACAAAUUACAAUUACUAUUGGUACACCCAUCACACCUAUCAGCUAUAUAUACUAAACGGACAAUAAUCGGCCGUUUUAGAUAUUAGUUACGAAAAAACCGUACAGCUACAGAACGAUUCGGUCUUAAACUUCAAAACGAAAACAAUUUAUGGCCUCCACGCGAGUUAUCUGUGUGAGGUCCGGUUAUCUGCAACACGACGACGUCAAUUAAAUAUAAAAAUUAAAUAUAAAAAAAAAAAAAGUAUACAUACAUGUUAUGUAAUAAACAUAAACGGUAAAUCGGUUUUUAUGCCACGUUCUUCAACGAUAAAACAAAUAAUAUUCAAUUAUAAUUAAAAUAUUAUUUCAAUUAAUAUUUUAAUAAAUCGCGUUCGAUACCGCGAAUACGAAUGGUCUACUGCGAAAUCACUUUAACGGUUUUGACGGUUGGCAAAAUAAUUUUAAAAAAAGGUUUAUUUACCGCGAUAUAAAAGUACAAAAUUAUUAAUUUCGUCUAAAACUGACUUAAAUCGUCUUUUAAAACACACGUCUCGAAUAAAGUAGGUACGAAAAAAAAAACCACUAACUAAACUACCUGCUUUUAUAAAUC
This is a non-coding RNA of Cinara cedri, 641 nucleotides long. NCBI's taxonomy places the organism in Eukaryota, Metazoa, Arthropoda, Insecta, Hemiptera, Aphididae. The record is from the annotation of a GenBank genome assembly.